ACCCGAGCUCCUCUUCUUCCUGACUCUUCUUCUCUAUUCCUCGAGCGGUCUGUUCCGGGUGAUCGGCGACUCUUCCCUCAUCUUCUCGGUGUCGCCGGCGCAGAUCGGGUCUCGGAGCUUGGAGGAUAGGAGCUAGCUGGUUUCUUUCUCCCCGUCGAUUAGCAAGCGGUAGGAUCUCGUCUCCUUGAGCCAACUGUCGAUGCCGCUGGAUCGAUCCAGGUUCACCGAUCGCUGGCGUGGAUGAUGCCUUAGGGCUUCGAGGAGUGAACCGUGUAUCCUCAAGUUGAGUCGGAUGGGGUGAUACCUUCUGGAGACACUCGGUGGAGGGAGGAUCUGUUUUGUGGAUUUCAAAUUGAAUGCUGUGAGUUCUUGAUCCAGCAAUUCAUCCUGUUACUGGCAGCAACAAUCCCUGCUGUAGAUCUACAACCAGGGCAGUGAAUUGAGGUCCUGUUUCUGUGGGGUUUCCAUUGGUUACGACAGCCACCUCAUCUAGUAGCUCUUCUGGUUCCAGCUAUCAACAGCAGUGUGUAGAAUUAGGACUCUGAUUCGAGACAGGCGUCUCGGCCUUGGAUUGCUGGAUUGUACCUCCUAUUUGAGGCGGGUACCCUUUGACUUAUCUUUUGAUAAUGUCUUAUGAUAUGUGUAGCUUAUAUAUAUUUACUAGUGGUAGAUAGUAGAUCAUUUCUUCCCUGGUUUUAGCUAGUUGAUACC
Zingiber officinale is the source of this 711-nucleotide long non-coding RNA. RefSeq lists it as uncharacterized. The transcript is spliced from 4 exons. NCBI's taxonomy places the organism in Eukaryota, Viridiplantae, Streptophyta, Magnoliopsida, Zingiberales, Zingiberaceae. The record is from RefSeq and is a predicted model, not a curated record.